AUACUUACUUGGCAGGGGAGAUACCAUGAUCACAAAGGUGGUUUUCCCAGGGCGAGGCUCACCCAUUGCACUCCGGAUGUGCUGACCCCUGCGAUUUCCCCAAAUGCGGGAAACUCGACUGCAUAAUUUGUGGUAGUGGGGGCUGCGUUCACUCUCUUCCCUA
This 163-nucleotide small nuclear RNA is filed under the name Echinops telfairi (small Madagascar hedgehog). Its description in RNAcentral is "U1 spliceosomal RNA (ENSETEG00000021074.1)". It matches the Rfam family "U1 spliceosomal RNA". From Rfam's summary of the family: U1 is a small nuclear RNA (snRNA) component of the spliceosome (involved in pre-mRNA splicing). The record is from RNAcentral. Lineage: Eukaryota; Metazoa; Chordata; Mammalia; Afrosoricida; Tenrecidae.